AGUGGGGAAUAUUGCGCAAUGGGCGAAAGCCUGACGCAGCAACGCCGCGUGAGGGAUGACGGCCUUCGGGUUGUAAACCUCUUUCAGCAGGGAAGAAGCGAAAGUGACGGUACCUGCAGAAGAAGCACCGGCUAACUACGUGCCAGCAGCCGCGGUAAUACGUAGGGUGCAAGCGUUGUCCGGAUUUAUUGGGCGUAAAGAGCUCGUAGGCGGUUAGUCACGUCGGAUGUGAAAUCCCAGGGCUUAACCCUGGGCCUGCAUUCGAUACGGGCUGACUAGAGUGUUGUAGGGGAGACUGGAACUCCUGGUGUAGCGGUGAAAUGCGCAGAUAUCAGGAAGAACACCGGUGGCGAAGGCGGGUCUCUGGGCAACUACUGACGCUGAGGAGCGAAAGCGUGGGGAGCAAA
This 407-nucleotide ribosomal RNA is filed under the name uncultured Actinomycetes bacterium. RNAcentral's name for it is "bacterial SSU rRNA". It matches the Rfam family "Bacterial small subunit ribosomal RNA", at positions 353 to 772 of the family's 1533-position model. The record is from RNAcentral. Lineage: Bacteria; Bacillati; Actinomycetota; Actinomycetes.